GACGUAGGGUGCAAGCGUUGUCCGGAUUUAUUGGGCGUAAAGAGUUCGUAGGCGGUUGCCUAAGUCUGAUGUUAAAUCCCGGAGCUCAACUUCGGUAUGGCAUUGGAAACUGGGCAGCUUGAGUAUGAUAGAGGUUACGGGAAUUCCUGGUGUAGCGGUGAAAUGCGUAGAUAUCAGGAGGAACACCGGUGGCGAAAGCGCGUAACUGGGUCAUAACUGACGCUGAGGAACGAAAGCCAGGGUAGCAAAAAGGAUUAGAUACCCUUGUAGUCCUGGCCGUAAACGAUGGAUACUAGGUGUUGGUGGAUUCGACCCCAUCAGUGCCGUAGCUAACGCGAUAAGUAUCCCGCCUGGGGAGUACGACCGCAAGGUUGAA
This 376-nucleotide ribosomal RNA is filed under the name uncultured bacterium. Its description in RNAcentral is "bacterial SSU rRNA". It matches the Rfam family "Bacterial small subunit ribosomal RNA", at positions 524 to 898 of the family's 1533-position model. The record is from RNAcentral.